This 497-nucleotide ribosomal RNA is filed under the name uncultured bacterium. RNAcentral describes it as "partial 16S ribosomal RNA". It matches the Rfam family "Bacterial small subunit ribosomal RNA", at positions 28 to 507 of the family's 1533-position model. The record is from RNAcentral.
GAUGAACGCUGGCGGCGUGCCUAAUACAUGCCAGUCGAGCGAACAGACGAGGAGCUUGCUCCUCUGACGUUAGCGGCGGACGGGUGAGUAACACGUGGAUAACCUACCUAUAAGACUGGGAUAACUUCGGGAAACCGGAGCUAAUACCGGAUAAUAUAUUGAACCGCAUGGUUCAAUAGUGAAAGACGGUUUUGCUGUCACUUAUAGAUGGAUCCGCGCCGCAUUAGCUAGUUGGUAAGGUAACGGCUUACCAAGGCGACGAUGCGUAGCCGACCUGAGAGAGUGAGCGGCCACACUGGAGCGGAGACACGGAACAGGCGACUACGGGAGGCAGCAGUAGGGAAUGGUCGGAAAUGGGCGAAAGACUGACAGAGCAACGGCGAGGGAGUGAUGAAGUUCUUCGGAUCGUAAAACUGUGUUAUUAGGGAAGAACAAAUGUGUAAGGAACUAUGCACGGCUUGACGGUACGGAAUAAGAAAGCAACGGCUAACUACGUG